AUGCUAAAGCCUCCAACCCAGUGAUUGCACGAUCAAAUGGCAUAGAGAUUCCAAUAGAAGAAGAAAGAAAUGAAGUACGAUUAUGGAAGAGGUACUCAUAGCCAAAAUUCAUUUUCUCAUUCAAAAGAAAAAUAAUUACAUGAAAUCAAUGCCAAGAGGGCAUCGAACAAAAAAAAGAAAGAGAAAGAAGAGAGGGAGAAA
This 201-nucleotide long non-coding RNA is filed under the name Elaeis guineensis (African oil palm). RNAcentral's name for it is "long non-coding RNA (EGUI_LNC032251)". Lineage: Eukaryota; Viridiplantae; Streptophyta; Magnoliopsida; Arecales; Arecaceae. The record is from RNAcentral.